Eutrema salsugineum is the source of this 618-nucleotide long non-coding RNA. RefSeq lists it as uncharacterized. NCBI's taxonomy places the organism in Eukaryota, Viridiplantae, Streptophyta, Magnoliopsida, Brassicales, Brassicaceae. The record is from RefSeq and is a predicted model, not a curated record. The transcript has 2 exons.
AUGACAUAGUAAACGCUUAUAAUUUUUUAAGACCCCGCCUUCUAAAAAUUUUCACCAAGUCAAAAACCUAAUUAUUAAUAUACUACUAGAAGAAAUGGUAGAGCUAAAACUUUUUUCUCUCUUUCCUUUGAGAGGCGAUUACUCUCUCAAAACCCAACCCUAGCCGCCUUCUCGUUCUGUGCCGAUCUCCCUUCCCGGUGAACAGUGUCUCUCACGGCCGCCAGAAAAGGGAUCACUUCUACGAGAUAGCAAGGCCUCCGCCAAAGAUUCUCAAAUCUCUUCUUCUUCUCUUACCUCCAUCUCCGUUGUUCUCUCGCUUCGUCGGAUUAAGAGCACCACUUCGAGUCCAGUGAUGCCGAAGAUUCCAAGACGUAUCCCCAUCAGGCCGGUAACAUCCGUAAAGGUGGUCACAUCAUCAUCAAGGGUCGUCCCUGCAAGAAAGAGGCUCUUGAAAAGGAUUUUGAUGGAGCAUAGAAAGGAACUGGACGAGAAGAUGAAGUUAGCUUCAUCUAGUUUGAUAAAUUCCAUUUCUGUUGCAAGUGAUUUACUUAUUUAAUAUGUUGUUGUCGUCUUUGUAAAAUAUUUUACUACUAAUGAUAAUUGUUUUAUCUUUGUAAA